This 475-nucleotide ribosomal RNA is filed under the name uncultured bacterium. RNAcentral's name for it is "bacterial SSU rRNA". It matches the Rfam family "Bacterial small subunit ribosomal RNA", at positions 328 to 793 of the family's 1533-position model. The record is from RNAcentral.
CGCUAUCACUCCUACGGGGAGGCAGCAGUGGGGAAUAUUGCACAAUGGGGGAAACCCUGAUGCAGCCAUGCCGCGUGUGUGAGAAGGCCUUCGGGUUGUAAAGCACUUUCAGUAGGGAGGAAGGUAGUGUAGUUAACACCUGCAUUAUUUGACGUUACCUACAGAAGAAGCACCGGCUAACUCCGUGCCAGCAGCCGCGGUAAUACGGAGGGUGCGAGCGUUAAUCGGAAUUACUGGGCGUAAAGCGCAUGCAGGCGGCCUGUUAAGUCAGAUGUGAAAGCCCGGGGCUUAACCUCGGAAUUGCAUUUGAAACUGGCAGGCUAGAGUCUUGUAGAGGGGGGUAGGAAUUUCAGGUGUAGCGGUGAAAUGCGUAGAGAUCUGAAGGAAUACCAGUGGCGAAGGCGGCCCCCUCGGACAAAGACUGACGCUCAGAUGCGAAAGCGUGGGGAGCAAACAGGAUUAGAUACCCUGGUAG